RNAcentral lists this ribosomal RNA (465 nucleotides) under Vreelandella stevensii. Its description in RNAcentral is "partial 16S ribosomal RNA". It matches the Rfam family "Bacterial small subunit ribosomal RNA", at positions 338 to 795 of the family's 1533-position model. Lineage: Bacteria; Pseudomonadati; Pseudomonadota; Gammaproteobacteria; Oceanospirillales; Halomonadaceae. The record is from RNAcentral.
CCUACGGGAGGCAGCAGUGGGGAAUAUUGGACAAUGGGCGAAAGCCUGAUCCAGCCAUGCCGCGUGUGUGAAGAAGGCCUUCGGGUUGUAAAGCACUUUCAGUGGGGAAGAAAGCCUUGGGGCUAAUACCCUCGAGGAAGGACAUCACCCACAGAAGAAGCACCGGCUAACUCCGUGCCAGCAGCCGCGGUAAUACGGAGGGUGCGAGCGUUAAUCGGAAUUACUGGGCGUAAAGCGCGCGUAGGCGGUCUGAUAAGCCGGUUGUGAAAGCCCCGGGCUCAACCUGGGAACGGCAUCCGGAACUGUCAGGCUAGAGUGCAGGAGAGGAAGGUAGAAUUCCCGGUGUAGCGGUCAAAUGCGUAGAGAUCGGGAGGAAUACCAGUGGCGAAGGCGGCCUUCUGGACUGACACUGACGCUGAGGUGCGAAAGCGUGGGUAGCAAACAGGAUUAGAUACCCGUGUAGUC